UAGUGCAGGAACUUCUUGCCUCUAAUCCUGAUCCUUACUCUCUUCAUAGGGAUGGACCGAGUUACUGGAUCAAAAAGAGGCUGACAUACGCUGGUUCCCAUUUGGAGGAACCAAUCUUUCAAAGGCCCGUUACUCUCCUUCCCUCUACCUGGGACAGGUGCCAGGCUGCCAUCCUGGUUCCUGACUUCACAGGUGCACACCAUGCCCUCCAGAAGAUCAGAGAGUGUCCUUGCCUACAGUGCUCUUGGAAAGGACCAACCAGAGCCAGCCAGAUAUGACCCCUAACCGAUCACAUCGGAUAUCCUGCUUCUGGUUAGUUCACCUGCCGCCUCCCCACUCCCAGCAGCCUCUGGUUGGGCCACACCUGAAGCCUUGCCUUUCUCCAUGGUAAAUCUUGCCCCCUGCCCUGCCUGCCUUCGAGUCUCUGCCCUGAUGCAAGUGACGGGAAUGGACUCUCGUUCUACAGCGGGUUCAGAAUAGACUUUUGCUUGUGUUAUUUGGAUUUGGUUUAUUUCUACAUAGUCGGUUCUCAAUAAUUGUUGAGUGGAGGAAGAAAAGGGUUAAAGAUGUUGAGGAAAUCUACAUGGAAUACAAUUAUCCCCAGCUUUACUGAGCUACACCUGCCACCACGUUGCGUAAGUUUAAGGUGAUUUGCGACACGCACAGCUACGUAAUUUUUAUUCGCCAAGCACAUGUAACGAAGCUGGGAAAAAUCCACAUUAAAAAAAAAAAGAACAAAGGAAGGAAGUAGGGAAUCUGUUCUGUUUCUUUGUUUAGAGGGACUACUAGAUUUUUGCCAUUUGACAUAAUUUUCUCCAUUAAAAACAAUCAGGCUGAGAAAAGACAAGAAUUCAACAUCUCACGUGACUGAACCAUGAGGUUAAAAUGUGGGUUCUGAUCCAGUAGGUCUGGGGUGGGGCCUGAGGUCCUGCGUUGUAACAAGGUUCUGCAGGGAGCCAGUGCUGCUGGCUUAUCCCACACUCAACGCAGCCAGAGCUUCGAGGUCUGGGAGGUAACUCCAGGCGGACCACACCAUUUCUGUCCCCAACAUCUCAAAACCAAGAUGGAGAGCCUACGUCUCAGAUAGAGAAACUGUAUGUGAUGGUCCCUGGUGGAAAUCAAUUCCUCUACAGGUUACCAAGAACACAGAAAACAAUGUAUAUUUUGAUUCCAAUAAAAAAAAGGAAAUGAUGUUCCCCGGCAGCCUUCCUGUUCAGAAACAAAAACUCCUCCUCAUGCUUUGAUUAAAGGUAAGGUGCUUUCUUAAUCUGGACUUAUUGACGGCACAGCUGGGCAAAUCCCGCUGCGGCAAAUUAUUGCCAAAUGUUGUGGAAUCUCCCUUGCCAUGCUGGUUUGACGGUUUGGUUGGAAUUCUGAGCUAGGGGGAGAAGGACAUUUGGGAAAUUAUUUUGCCUCGCUGAACGUGACAGACCCUGGGACUCGUGUGUGAUGAUUACCAAAACCAGUACUCACGAGCGCUUUCCCAAAUUAGGACUCAUUCCCCUGAGCCGACUCUUUACGACAUGUGCUGAGCCCGACCCAUCCCGAUCGCCCCGUUUUGUCAUCUGACUUGCAGACGGGUGCCUGAUCUCCUUUGAUAUGCUGUACAUGACAUACUAACAAACCCUUCUCUCUAAUCAAAGGGAUCGGACAUAUGCCACCAUCAGGAGCCGGGCGAGGCAAACACAGACCAGAUGUGCUCCUACAGGUCGGACGGAAUGAGUGGAUUUGGAACAUACACUUGGCAUAGUCUCGAAAUUAACCCUAGGAUCUAAUUUUAAAACAAAACCCCACAUUUUUUCACAAGACAGAGACAACACAGCCAGCCAGCAGCUUUCGACAGCAGCAAUACAGCAAAAGUCCUGGGAUAACUUUUCAGGCAUCCGCUUAGAAGUAAAGCAUCAUCUGUGAAAGUUCUUAGGCCAGACGGUCUCUAACGGGACCGUUUUAAAAUAUCUAAUGGGAAAACACUUCCACAAACACCAAUAGGCAUAUGUAUCUAUGGGUUUUAAACCAGCCUUGUAAAUAAAGGUAAUUAUAAUAUUCGCUCACA
Long non-coding RNA from Neofelis nebulosa (Clouded leopard), 2053 nucleotides. RefSeq lists it as uncharacterized. NCBI's taxonomy places the organism in Eukaryota, Metazoa, Chordata, Mammalia, Carnivora, Felidae. The transcript is spliced from 3 exons. The record is from RefSeq and is a predicted model, not a curated record.